GAUGAAGAACGUAGCGAAAUGCGAUAAGUAAUGUGAAUUGCAGAAUUCAGUGAAUCAUCGAAUCUUUGAACGCACCUUGCGCCCUUUGGCCAUUCCGAAGGGCAUGCCUGUUUGAGUAUCAUGAACACCUCAACUCUUUAUGGUUUUCCAUGAUGAGCUUGGACUCUGGGGGUUUUGCUGGCUCACAGUCAGCUCCUCUAAAAUGAAUCAGCUUACCAGUGUUUGGUGGGUAUCAUGGGUGUGAUAACUAUCUACGCUUGUGGUUUUUCCACCAGGUAACCUUCAGCAGUGGAGGUUCGCUGGAGCUCAUAGAUGUCUCUCCUCAGUGAGGACAGCCCUUUGAAUGUUUGAUCUCAAAUCAGGUAGGACUACCCGCUGAACUUAAGCAUAUCAAUAAGCGGAGGA
This 405-nucleotide unclassified non-coding RNA is filed under the name soil metagenome. RNAcentral's name for it is "partial contains 5.8S ribosomal RNA, internal transcribed spacer 2, and large subunit ribosomal RNA". The stretch from base 1 to 121 matches the Rfam family "5.8S ribosomal RNA", at positions 35 to 154 of the family's 154-position model. The record is from RNAcentral.